UUAAAAACUUCAUGUGUGACACUGUACAAAUAUCAAAUGUUUCAAGCAUUAAUGUGGUGUUCAUAUAUGUAUUAUGAGGUAGUCUAAUGUUAUUAUUAAUAGAGAAUCAGGGCACAUUAUAAGUUGUAAAUGCUUUUAAAAGUUAUUCCAACAUGUAGCAACUGUGUGUCCACUUAAUAAUAUUAGAUGAAUCAGACUGACAUAAAGGCAGUUUUAGGUUGUUGACUACAGCUUCUUCAUACAGUCAGUGUUUGUAGGGUAAGAUGAGCAAGAAGGUACAGUAAGUGUGGGAGGAGCUCAAUGUUUUGUCGACUCCUGCAGAAUAAAUCAAAUAGACAACACUGACUUCCCUUCAUACUGAUGAUACUGAAUCUGAACUCAAACUACAGAAACAUGUUACUCAUCACUUCUGUUUUAAUAUUUAUCCUCAGUUACUGUGAAGCGAAUGGGAAUGUCAUCAGACCAGAUCAACCAUCUGUAGUUUUAACUGAAGGAAGCAGCAUCAAUCUGUCCUGUACAUUUGAUGGAUCAGCUUACAGUCUCCACUGGUACCGGCAGAUGCCUGGAUCAAGACCAGAGUUUCUGCUGCUGAUUGUUGAAUCUACUAAAACUAAAGUUGAAGCUUCUCCACCUCACCCGCAUAUGUUCAUCAGUCUUCAUGAUAAUCGUGUGGAUCUGGAGAUCUCCUCUGCUGCAGUAUCAGACUCUGCUCUGUAUUACUGUGCUCUGCAGCCCACAGUGACAGGAAACACAAAAACACUGUACAAAAACCUUCUCAUCUUUUGUCUGUUGCAUACAGUGAUAUCCAUUAUGGCUAAUAUGGCCUUUAAAUGUACGUAAUGAGAUUAUUGACCAAUGACAAAUUGCAUUUAUUUUUCAUUUUACAUUUAUUUAGCAAGAACAUCCCUGAAAGAGAAAAGUUCUUUAGAACUGGCUGUAAGAAAUAUAGUUAUAAUCAAUACAAAAAUGGACUGCAAACAGUUAUUUAUAUAUUUUGGCGGAAUCCUUAUCGCCCACAAAACUAUUUUACAUUCUCAGUUAUGACCUCCACCACUGAAUUCCUUUGAACGCUACUAAAGAGAUUUAUUAUUAUUUUUGUAGAUAGAUAUGUAAUCUGUUCAUCAUGUUGCUGUACAAUAACUGUGUGAUGGAUUCACCAAAAAUAGUCCAUUUACAUUUGCACAGAUUUGUUGUUUUACUGUACUUACAUCCAACAAGAAACAAUGGCAAACUUAAAGGGAUAGAUCACCCAAAAAUUAAAAUUCUGUCAUCAUUUACUCACCCUCAAGUUGUUGU
Molecule: non-coding RNA, 1296 nt
Organism: Megalobrama amblycephala (Wuchang bream)
Lineage: Eukaryota; Metazoa; Chordata; Actinopteri; Cypriniformes; Xenocyprididae
Source: the annotation of a RefSeq genome assembly